GCUAGCGAAUACUAGAAUGACAAGGAAAAGUUGUUUUACUACUUAAAUUACAACUACCACGACUAAAAGUUGAAGUUAUUCAGGACAGAGGUUCUGUAUUUUAGUAGUAUGUUAUUCUCAAGAGGGCGACGGAGGACCAGACUUUGGUGUUUUUGAUGAUUAUUCUCAGAGGUUAGCUGGAGGCGGAAUUACGAUCACCUGUAGCCUACUGCUGUUGAGGAGGAGCUGCUUGAUUCAACACCUGGAUUACAGGGGUGGGAACCUCAGCUGCAUGGGGACACAGCCAGGAAGGAAAAUCACAGACAUUUUAGCCCCUAAAAUGUCGGCAGGAAGGAGGAAAAGGGAGGAAAAGAAACAGGAGUGGACAGAGGGGGGUCCGGAGGAGGCUGAGAGAGAGAGAGAGGAGAUUCACAAUGGAGGAAGGAAGGCAAAGUGAUGUUUUUAAGCAGUCACCAAAAAUUGGAGAUGUGAAUUUAAGAGCAGAUUAUAGGAGUAAAGUGGAGUAAGAAUCUUUUCUGUUGUCUUUUUCCAGAUUGAAAUACGUUUUAGUCAAAAUUAGCUGCAUAUUAGAACAGAGCAAUCGUUCUUUGUCAGGUAUUUUGAGGUGUAUCUGUACUACUGAGGACACGUUGUGACUGUACUGGUUUCGGCUUCUCCGUUGGCCCUCUUGGAAAUAUUAAAAUCGAGUACAUUAACAUAUCAAAGGUCAGACACGGGGACAGCCAGCCUCCCAGGUGCUGUGAGAAUUUACAGCCCCAGUUGAUCUAUGGCCUGACCCAACCUCAAACCAAAUCCCAGCUGCUGAUCUGUUGGCCUCCAGAUCAGAAAGCCUGUCAACACGAGAGCCUCAUUUACAUUUAAAGUGCGCUCUCUCCUCCCGUUGUUUAGCCCAUAUUCAUCAAGUGUGACUGGUAGUGACUGCAAGCCGAAUACAGGCAUUUAUAAUGAUAUACAAAAAAAGACAGUCACCUUUAUACAGCUCAGUAGUCUACAGUGAAUACACAUUUGGUGAUUAAAAAAAAAUAAUCUAACUGUUGUUAAGCUCAAUUGUUUAUAAAGUGUCAAUUUGUCUGUGUUAGUGAAAGUUAGGAGUAGGAAAUAUAAAUAAAAUCUUCCAUGAUGGAAUGAGUAAUUUUAUAAUGUGAUAUCAAUAUACAAAUCAUAUGGAGAAACUUUAUGCAAGCAUCAUAAAAAUAGAGUUUUCAAAGGAAUUUUGUAUUAUUACAAAAAUACUCCUGUCCUGUUAUUUUAUCAAUAUAUUUCUGAAAAGCUACUCCGCUUAUUGA
This is a long non-coding RNA of Scomber japonicus (chub mackerel), 1286 nucleotides long. RefSeq lists it as uncharacterized. The record is from RefSeq and is a predicted model, not a curated record. Lineage: Eukaryota; Metazoa; Chordata; Actinopteri; Scombriformes; Scombridae. The transcript is spliced from 3 exons.